GACGAACGCUGGCGGCGUGCUUAACACAUGCAAGUCGAACGGAAAGGCCCCUUUGGGGGUCCUCGAGUGGCGAACGGGUGAGUAACACGUGAGUAACCUGCCCUUGACUUCGGGAUAACUUCAGGAAACUGGGGCUAAUACCGGAUAGGAAUCCUUGCUGCAUGGUGGGGGUUGGAAAGCUUCGGCGGUUUUGGAUGGACUCGCGGCUUAUCAGCUUGUUGGUGGGGUAGUGGCUUACCAAGGCUUUGACGGGUAGCCGGCCUGAGAGGGCGACCGGCCACAUUGGGACUGAGAUACGGCCCAGACUCCUACGGGAGGCAGCAGUGGGGAAUAUUGCACAAUGGGCGGAAGCCUGAUGCAGCAACGCCGCGUGCGGGAGGACGGCCUUCGGGCUGUAAACCGCUUUCAGCAGGGGCGAAGCUUGUGGUGACGGUACCUGCAGAAGAAGCACCGGCUAACUACGUG
This 465-nucleotide ribosomal RNA is filed under the name uncultured bacterium. RNAcentral's name for it is "partial 16S ribosomal RNA". It matches the Rfam family "Bacterial small subunit ribosomal RNA", at positions 28 to 507 of the family's 1533-position model. The record is from RNAcentral.